This 459-nucleotide ribosomal RNA is filed under the name uncultured bacterium. Its description in RNAcentral is "partial 16S ribosomal RNA". It matches the Rfam family "Bacterial small subunit ribosomal RNA", at positions 338 to 795 of the family's 1533-position model. The record is from RNAcentral.
CCUACGGGAGGCAGCAGUGAGGAAUAUUGGUCAAUGGCCGAGAGGCUGAACCAGCCAAGUCGCGUGAGGGAAGACGGUCCUACGGGUUGUAAACCUCUUUUGUCGGGGAGCAAAGCGAGUCACGUGUGACUCAUUGAGAGUACCCGAAGAAAAAGCAUCGGCUAACUCCGUGCCAGCAGCCGCGGUAAUACGGAGGAUGCGAGCGUUAUCCGGAUUUAUUGGGUUUAAAGGGUGCGCAGGCGGAGGUGCAAGUCAGCGGUCAAAUUGCGGGGCUCAACCCCGUACUGCCGUUGAAACUGCAGCCCUUGAGUGCGCGAGAGGUAUGCGGAAUGCGUGGUGUAGCGGUGAAAUGCAUAGAUAUCACGCAGAACUCCGAUUGCGAAGGCAGCAUACCGGCGCGCAACUGACGCUCAUGCACGAAAGCGUGGGUAUCGAACAGGAUUAGAUACCCUAGUAGUC